GAUGAACGUUGGCGGCGUGCCUAACACAUGCAAGUCGAACGGGAAGCUAGACUUCGGUUUAGUGGAGAGUGGCGCACGGGUGAGUAACACGUAACUGAUCUGCCCUAGAGAGGAGGAUAACUACUGGAAACAGUAGCUAAAACUCCAUAAGCUCACGUUUCUUAGAAAGAUGUGAGAAAAACUCCGGUGCUCUAGGAUGAGGUUGCGUCCCAUCAGCUAGUUGGUAAGGUAAAGGCUUACCAAGGCAACGACGGGUAGGGGACCUGAGAGGGUGACCCCCCACACUGGAACUGAGACACGGUCCAGACUCCUACGGGAGGCAGCAGUGAGGAAUAUUGCACAAUGGACGCAAGUCUGAUGCAGCGACGCCGCGUGGGCGAAGAAGGUUUUCGGAUCGUAAAGCCCUUUUCUAUGUGACGAGAACGGACGGUAGCAUAGGAAUAAGUGUCGGCUAACUACG
This 460-nucleotide ribosomal RNA is filed under the name uncultured Anaerolineae bacterium. Its description in RNAcentral is "bacterial SSU rRNA". It matches the Rfam family "Bacterial small subunit ribosomal RNA", at positions 28 to 505 of the family's 1533-position model. The record is from RNAcentral. Lineage: Bacteria; Bacillati; Chloroflexota; Anaerolineae.